This 492-nucleotide ribosomal RNA is filed under the name uncultured bacterium. RNAcentral describes it as "partial 16S ribosomal RNA". It matches the Rfam family "Bacterial small subunit ribosomal RNA", at positions 29 to 507 of the family's 1533-position model. The record is from RNAcentral.
AGUGAACGCUGGCGGUAGGCCUAACACAUGCAAGUCGAACGGCAGCACAGUAAGAGCUUGCUCUUACGGGUGGCGAGUGGCGGACGUGUGAGGAAUACAUCGGAAUCUACUUUUUCGUGGGGGAUAACGUAGGGAAACUUACGCUAAUACCGCAUACGACCUACGGUUGAAAGCAGGGGAUCUUCGGACCUUGCGCGAUUGAAUGAGCCGAUGUCGGAUUAGCUAGUUGGCGGGGUAAAGGCCCACCAAGGCGACGAUCCGUAGCUGGUCUGAGAGGAUGAUAAGCCACACUGGAACUGAGACACGGUCCAGACUACUACGGGAGGCAGCAGUGGGGAAUAUUGGACAAUGGGCGCAAGCCUGAUCCAGCCAUACCGCGUGGGUGAAGAAGGCCUUCGGGUUGUAAAGCCCUUUUGUUGGGAAAGAAAAGCAGCAGGUUAAUACCCCGCUGUUCUGACGGUACCCAAAGAAUAAGCACCGGCUAACUUCGUG